This is a non-coding RNA of Pelodiscus sinensis (Chinese soft-shelled turtle), 1645 nucleotides long. Lineage: Eukaryota; Metazoa; Chordata; Testudines; Trionychidae. The record is from RefSeq and is a predicted model, not a curated record.
CCUCUCGCGGCCCUCACGCGCCUGCGCGCGCGUAUGGGCUUCCCCGCCCGGAGCACACGCCCUUUACAUAACGGGCCCACGUGCAGCGCCCUCACGUGCCACAACAGCGCCAGCCCAGCGUUGCUAUUGGUGGGAAGGCGGAACGGCGCAAAGGACCUGUGCGACUGAGCAGCGCGAGAGUGGAGCCUCGCCCGCAGAUUCGAUGUCAAUAAGGAGCCGCCCAGCCAAUCGGGGAGCGACGCUCUGCUUGGGCGGGGGACACGUGCGUGCUCUGCACGUGAGAGACAAGGUGUGCGAUGGACGUGGUGACUGCUCUUGUGGAGUGUGCCUGAAUCAGAAUUGGCGAAGGUAGGUUGUUUAGCGAAUAACAAGUAGCAAUGCAUUCUGAGGUCCAAUGUGACAAUCUCUGUGAUUAAAUUUGUUUUCAUUUACUAUGAUCUGCAAUGGAGACGAAAAGUUGAGAAGAGAAUCUGAAAGAUUUUAUUCUGUCGACGGAGAAGGAGAGAGCCCUUCUGACGUCUAAGUUGUACAUCUGAGCUUCAAAUGCAUUGGUGUGGGGCUUUGGAAAAAAUACUGGUGGUCUGCUUUGUAACAGGACAUCAUGGACUUGUUGAGAGCAUUGCAGUUCUAUGCCCGUGAACCAGGUACCACUCCUUAAGAUGGAGUGUGCGAAACUGAGGGUGAGGAUACGUAAUCCCUGGUUGAUGCAGAUUGUUGGGAUUGUUCAGAAGCGUGAUUGGUUGAUGUAGUGCCAGCCUGUGUAUGAUGGGAAACCACGGUUGUCGGGGCCAGCAGGACGCGAUGAGGAUAAUUUUUGCUUCAUCCUUCAGAGCCUUUAUGAGGACUCUGUUGAGGAGAGGAAAUGGGUAAAGGCGUAAUGCAGGGGUGCAUUUCAAAUUAUAACAAGAGCAUUCCCCAUGUCCACCCUGGAGCAAUAACUUGGGUGUUUUUUGUUGGUUGCAGUGGCAAAUAAAUCUAUAUCUGGGAAACCCUAUUGAUUGAAUAUGUCUCUGAGGAGUGCAUAGCCGAGUUCCCAUUCGUGUUCUUGUAGCAGGGUUCUGCUGAGGGCAUCUGCCAUGGAAUUGAGGACCCCAAGAAGGUGCCAAGCAGAUAUACAACCGUAUCGGGCUAGACACCAAUUCCAAAGUGCUAUAGCUACCGAGAGUAGAGUGUGUGAAUGGGCGCUGCCUUGCCUGUUUUUAUAGAACAUGCAUGGGUGCUGUCUGUAUAUAUUUUUACAUGGAUCCCUGUGAUCUUGAGUAGCAGUUCUUGGCAUGCCAGACAAACUGCCCUGAGUUCAAGGGCAUUGAUAUGGAGCAUGCAGUCUGCCGGGGACCAUAGGCCGUGUGCUGUGCGGUCUUCUGUAUGGGCACCGCAUCCCAUAAGGAUGCGUCUGUAGUGAUAACUUCAGAGGGGUCUCAGGUUCGAAAAAGGAUGCCUACGCACAGGUUGGGUGAUUUUGUCCACCAGUGUAGGGAUGCUUUCACUGGUUGUGGCAGUGUGAGCAUUUUGGUCAUAGGAUGGACGUGUGGCUUGUAUUUGAGUCAGAAUCUCCCACUGAGAAAAGAAUGCCCAGUACUCCCAAUUUAGUUAUCUCUGUUACAAGUGUUCACAACUCCCUUGUAAGAACUGGCAUCACAAAGAC